GNACGAACGCUGCCGGCGUGCUUAACACAUGCAAGUCGAACGAUGAAGCCUUUCGGGGUGGAUUAGUGGCGAACGGGUGAGUAACACGUGGGCAAUCUGCCCUUCACUCUGGGACAAGCCCUGGAAACGGGGUCUAAUACCGGAUAACACUCCUACAGGCAUCUGUGGGGGUUAAAAGCUCCGGCGGUGAAGGAUGAGCCCGCGGCCUAUCAGCUUGUUGGUGAGGUAGUGGCUCACCAAGGCGACGACGGGUAGCCGGCCUGAGAGGGCGACCGGCCACACUGGGACUGAGACACGGCCCAGACUCCUACGGGAGGCAGCAGUGGGGAAUAUUGCACAAUGGGCGAAAGCCUGAUGCAGCGACGCCGCGUGAGGGAUGACGGCCUUCGGGUUGUAAACCUCUUUCAGCAGGGAAGAAGCGCAAGUGACGGUACCUGCAGAAGAAGCGCCGGCUAACUACGUGCCAGCAGCCGCGGUAAUACGUAGGGCGCAAGCGUUGUCCGGAAUUAUUGGGCGUAAAGAGCUCGUAGGCGGUCUGUCGCGUCGGAUGUGAAAGCCCGGGGCUUAACCCCGGGUCUGCAUUCGAUACGGGCAGACUAGAGUGUGGUAGGGGAGAUCGGAAUUCCUGGUGUAGCGGUGAAAUGCGCAGAUAUCAGGAGGAACACCGGUGGCGAANGCGGAUCUCUGGGCCAUUACUGACGCUGAGGAGCGAAAGCGUGGGGAGCGAACAGGAUUAGAUACCCUGGUAGUCCACGCCGUAACNGUGGGAACUAGGUGUGGCGACAUUCACGUCGUCGGUGCCCAGCUACGCAUNANUUCCCNCUGGGANNCGGCNCAGGCUAACUCAANGAUUGACGGGGCCCCCAACCCGACAUGGGUUAUCNCCACCNAAACUNCAGGUGNAUNCCGANNUAAAANUCCCCUUGGCGNNNGGGGNUGCNCCACNUUCNAUUGGUAUCCCACACUUUGNCAUCUGGGUGGCAGAUGGNNUGGAGGCAAAUUCUUUGUCCNAGCCANNNCGGNANACCNNNGUNCCAGUUNAUGANCCCCCAACCCCGGGGGG
This 1063-nucleotide ribosomal RNA is filed under the name Streptomyces sp. LK1221.4. RNAcentral's name for it is "partial 16S ribosomal RNA". The stretch from base 1 to 824 matches the Rfam family "Bacterial small subunit ribosomal RNA", at positions 27 to 873 of the family's 1533-position model. Lineage: Bacteria; Bacillati; Actinomycetota; Actinomycetes; Kitasatosporales; Streptomycetaceae. The record is from RNAcentral.